GAUGAACGCUGGCGGCGUGCCUAAUACAUGCAAGUCGAGCGAACAGAUGAGGAGCUUGCUCCUCUGACGUUAGCGGCGGACGGGUGAGUAACACGUGGAUAACCUACCUAUAAGACUGGGAUAACUUCGGGAAACCGGAGCUAAUACCGGAUAAUAUAUUGAACCGCAUGGUUCAAUAGUGAAAGACGGUUUUGCUGUCACUUAUAGAUGGAUCCGCGCCGCAUUAGCUAGUUGGUAAGGUAACGGCUUACCAAGGCAACGAUGCGUAGCCGACCUGAGAGGGUGACCGGCCAAACUGGAACUGAGACACGGUCCAGACUCCUACGGGAGGCAGCAGUAGGGAAUCUUCCGCAAUGGGCGAAAGCCUGACGGAGCAACGCCGCGUGAGUGAUGAAGGUCUUCGGAUCGUAAAACUCUGUUAUUAGGGAAGAACAAAUGUGUAAGUAACUAUGCACGUCUUGACGGUACCUAAUCAGAAAGCCACGGCUAACUACGUG
Molecule: ribosomal RNA, 497 nt
Filed under: uncultured bacterium
Lineage: Bacteria
Description: partial 16S ribosomal RNA
Rfam family: Bacterial small subunit ribosomal RNA
Source: RNAcentral